Molecule: ribosomal RNA, 181 nt
Filed under: Brunfelsia cestroides
Lineage: Eukaryota; Viridiplantae; Streptophyta; Magnoliopsida; Solanales; Solanaceae
Description: 5.8S ribosomal RNA
Rfam family: 5.8S ribosomal RNA (bases 1-115)
About the family: 5.8S ribosomal RNA (5.8S rRNA) is a component of the large subunit of the eukaryotic ribosome. It is transcribed by RNA polymerase I as part of the 45S precursor that also contains 18S and 28S rRNA. Functionally, it is thought that 5.8S rRNA may be involved in ribosome translocation.
Source: RNAcentral
AACGCAGCGAAAUGCGAUACUUGGUGUGAAUUGCAGAAUCCCGUGAACCAUCGAGUCUUUGAACGCAAGUUGCGCCCGAAGCCAUUAGGCCGAGGGCACGUCUGCCUGGGCGUCACGCAUCGCGUCUCCCACACACAGUACGCCCAAACAAAAGGAAGCUGUGAUGCUUGGGAUGGAUAUU